CAGUCGCCGCGGUAAUACGUAGGUGGCAAGCGUUGUCCGGAAGUAUUGGGCGUAAAGGGCUCGCAGGCGGUUUCUUAAGUCUGAUGUGAAAGCCCCCGGCUCAACCGGGGAGGGUCAUUGGAAACUGGGAAACUUGAGUGCAGAAGAGGAGAGUGGAAUUCCACGUGUAGCGGUGAGAUGCGUAGAGAUGUGGAGGAACACCAGUGGCGAAGGCGACUCUCUGGUCUGUAACUGACGCUGAGGAGCGAAAGCGUGGGAAGCGAACAGGAUUAGAUACCCGUGUAGUCCCUGUCUCUUAUAU
This 301-nucleotide ribosomal RNA is filed under the name uncultured bacterium. RNAcentral's name for it is "partial 16S ribosomal RNA". It matches the Rfam family "Bacterial small subunit ribosomal RNA", at positions 509 to 809 of the family's 1533-position model. The record is from RNAcentral.